Long non-coding RNA from Bos indicus x Bos taurus (hybrid cattle), 1863 nucleotides. The record is from Ensembl. NCBI's taxonomy places the organism in Eukaryota, Metazoa, Chordata, Mammalia, Artiodactyla, Bovidae.
AUCUACACUGGUCUCCCCAGUGCCAAACACAUCCUCCCUGCCAGACUUGGAGCUGCGCUUGUACCCAUUCUCGGCUGUCCUCUCUGAAUCCUCUGGGACCCUCCCAGCUCAAGGUCUUCUCCUCUCUGAGCUUGUCCCCACCACCUCUGCACAGCGCUGUCUCCCCACGAGCUCCUGCAAGGUUGAGUUCUGAGUUAUCUGGCCUUUGAUGCAUGCAGACUGGCUUUCCUGUGAACUUUGCCUGUGCCCCUGUCUUUGGUUUUCCUGACACUUUGUUCAGUCGCUAAGUCGUGUCCGACUCUUUGCGACCCCAUGGACUGCAGCAUGCCAGGCUUCCCUGUCCUCCACUAUCUCCCAGAGUUUGCUCAAACUCAUGUCCACUGAGUCAGUGAUUCCAUCCAACCAUCUUGUCCUCUGUUGUCCCCUUCUCCUGCCUUCAGUCUUUCCCAGCAUCAGGGUCUUUUCCAACGAGUCGGCUCUUUGCAUCAGGUGUCCUGGGGCUGGAUUUUCCUCUCCUUUCUCUGGUGUCAUCCACCUUGGGUCUCAGCCCCUCAUCACAAUCAAGAACUGAUGACCGGGUGAUUGGUGACAUUUUUCUUUUCCUCUUGACACUAGUUCAUUUAUAUCUGAAUCACCCUUAUCAUUCAGGAAUGACAGGACAAAGCUGCUUCUGAACAAAGUGAACAAACUGAACAAACCCAUGCUAAUUCUUGCCUUCCUAACAGACUGUCAGCCACCCACAGCUGCCACGGUGGGGCCUGUGGUGGACAGAAGAGACUGAGUCAGCUCAUUCAUAAACAGCGAAAGUUAAGAGUUGCCUUGGCCUCUGGGAAGGGAUUCUUGAGAAGCCUUUUGUUUUCACCCAGCUUUUCCUGAAAAAUCAGGAAAACAAUGUGAUUGUUUCUCAGAAAUACAGAAAUAUACCAUCUUUUCUUAAUUGGCCCAGAGCAAAUAUUUUUAGUAAGGGCUGAUUUUUUUUUGCAGAAAAAUAAGACUUGGGGAUUUUUUUUUUUCCUGCAGACAUAUACUGGACAAAAGAUGUCUCUUCUAUCAGCAGAGUGAUGAUGGUGAAGAUGGUGAUGGAGGUGUAUAUGGAUGGUCAAAACUGGCUGGACAUGUUCCUUCCCCUUUGUACCUGAGUGUGGACACAUGGAGCUUCUGUUUCUUGUUUUUAACCCUGAGAGCAUCAUCCCAAUCUUGUUGCCGGACUGCUCCAGUACUCAAGUCUGAGAUGCUGACUCUGAUGCGUAUCAUUAAGGAAUCAAAGUUUAGCGAACAGCUUCCACCCACUCCAGACUCCUUUCCACAACCUCUUCCUGGAGUGGGCAUCUCCUACAUUUAUAGGACAAUGUACCACAUUGACAAAUUUUGCCUUUUCCCCAACAAGCCACUUCACAGGCUGUCAGACCUGCCUGUUCCUGACAAGGGCUGUUCUUGUCGUGGGCGGACCUCAGUUUCAGGGGGACGGCGAUGAGGCUGGAGCUCAGAGAGAUGGAGAAGCCUCUGAAGCCGCAGCAGCAGGAGCAGAAGGCACAGCCGCAGGGCCCUCUGGAAAGAACAGAGAAGAGAAGUGGAUGCUGCAGACCUGAGCCAGGAUGUUCUCUGUGAUGUCAGGUGAGCUGUGCCUCCCCCUCCAACCUACCCAGCACAGACACACUGGAAAGUGGCUUUUCAAAUGCCUUUGACUCUUAUCUCUCUUACAUCACCCUCUGAAAUGAAAUCUCAAACACUUUAGUGGGGUUUGAUGCAGAGAACAGUAAGCAGAUGGAGGUUCAGGCAGAAACAGAGCAGGAGUCAAAAGCCCUGGAGAAAAGCAUGAAUGGGCUUGGAGAGGACAAAUAAAAUAGCAGAGACAUUUAUACA